CCCUGCGCUUUGCAGUUUGCCUUCGAAGCACACACACACACACAACCCCCCCCGCAGCUCCUGGAUUCACCCCAGGCGUGCCCCCGGCACGGGCAGGCAAGUCCAGGCAGCCGGGAAUAAGAGGGUCACGCGAGCGUGCAUCGCACGCGCGCGUGCAUACACAUGUGCGCACGUACAUAGGGGCAUAACCCGCACGGGCAUUUCCAAAACCAGCCGGCGUGCAAAAGUUUUGGCUGAGAAAGCGAGCUGGCCGGGGGAAGCGAGCGGAGGCGAGCAGAAGCGAGCGGAGGCGAGCGGGAGCCCGGCGAGGCACCGGCGCUCCCCGAAAGGCAGCAGCAAACCCUCAUCGCUGGCCACGGAGGGAGGGGGCCCGUGGCAUCGGGCUGCAAUAGGUGGAAGUGAUUGACUCACUAUGAGACUGCUGUUUUUGCCUCUGACUUGAGAUUAAGACGGAGCUGGAGAAGCGGAGGAGCUGUCGCGCCGGCUCUCUGGCAGGCAGACGCCGGAGCCGUCACUUACCUCUCACUGCAUCCAGCCCCCCCGGCCGUGGGGCUGCGGGUCCUGGAGAGUUAGCUGGCGGGGGACCCCAGAUCCACUCGGGUUUCUCCCAGGACCGACGUUCGGCUGCUGCUUCUUAGGCACAGACCCAACCCCUCCAUUCCAACCACAGGGGAAAAAAAAAAAUCUUCUUCCAA
This is a long non-coding RNA of Aquila chrysaetos chrysaetos, 695 nucleotides long. RefSeq lists it as uncharacterized. The transcript has 2 exons. The record is from RefSeq and is a predicted model, not a curated record. NCBI's taxonomy places the organism in Eukaryota, Metazoa, Chordata, Aves, Accipitriformes, Accipitridae.